ACUGAUGUAGUGCUAGCUAUGGCGUGUGUAGUUUCAGAAUUUAACGAGCAUUUUGCUGUACUCAAGGCUCCAGUGGAAGAACCAAAUCAGAAUUGAGAAGCAUUUAAAAAUGGGUUCACUGAUAUUGGGUUUACAUGGUUUGUGGUGGUGGCGAGAGAUGGGUUGCGUGCCCAGUGCCGUUUAGUCUUCGAUUCCGUUGUCCUAUGCAUAAUUAUUAUUAUUAUUUGUUUCGUACUGAAACAGAUUUUUCGUGUUUCUGUAUUUUUAUUAAUAUCGAGUAUUAGGCAAUACAUCUUCAAGACAACACAAAUCUUAACCUAGGUACAGUAAGGUUCGAUCUCGCCUGUAGACGGCCGACUAGCCAACCAGAAGCUUGCUGAGCAACCCCUCCAAGCAUACGGGCAGAGAUCGCCGUCGUAUAGUAACUUAGCACACGCGUUCCGCGGCAGACAUUCUUUAUUAAAAAACAACAAAAAUUACCCAACGCAAGUCACGCGUAACCAUUAGAACCAGCGACAAUUGUUCAUCGUGUACCAGUCAAGGGACAGACGGUCCCACCUCCGGAAACGACGCUGAGCCCAGGGAGCGCGAGGCAGUGGAAGGAAGGUGAACCGGUAAGUCUUCAGACUUAUUUCGUUCCUUACUGUACAUAUUUUUUUUGGUCCAUUCGAACCGAAUUGCAUAGCGUGACCUUGUGUUGUCUUGAGUUGUAUUCAUUUUUAAUUUGUAAUAAAAUAAAAUUCACGAUAACCGCCAUUAACUCGCGCUGCUCCGUAGCCAUCAUGGCGGAUAUCGAACAAGAUUUGUUUGAACGCGAAAUAAUUCUUGACGAUAUCAAACGUACAUUACAAGUUGCUCAAAUUAAUGAACAACAAUUUAGAUCUCGUGUUGUAGACCUAACUUCUCAACACAGAAAGUUCUCAAAGUUACAAUCGAAAAUUGAAAAGCUUCUAAUCAAAUCAAAAUGUUUCGAUAAAGAUGAACAGCUUAAAAUUCGUGGUGAUUUUAAUGAUUGUUACUACGCCAUAAUUGCUCAUAUGAAUAGUUUGAAAAAAUCGGAUGAAGAGAGUAGACGGAUGAGUAUUUUAAAUUCUUCGUUCAAUGCUCAUAGCGGUGGUUGCGCAACCAAACUACCCACUUUGCCUAUGCCGUGUUUCAACGGGGAACCUACCGAGUGGCCCCCCUUUUAAGAUUUAUUUCGUUCGUUAGUGCACGACAGUGAUGCCUUCACCAACACGGAGAAAUUCCGUUACUUACUUUUAACUUUAAAAAAUGAGCCGUAUAAUUUAAUAAAGUCACUACCGAUAACAGAGGACAACUACUUUGUGGCUUUGAACAUUUUAAUUUCUCGGUAUGAUAAUAAACGGGUGAUCGCAGUGAAACAUAUCGACAAAAUACUCGAUAUCGAACCUUGUUCCGAAAGAAACAUUCUUACUUUGCGUAAUUUACUGAACGUAUAUCAAGAAAAUAUAAAAGCGUUGGAAGUUAUGUCAUUGCCUACGAAAAAAUGGAGUUUUUUAUUAUUGAACAUCCUACUGCGUAAAAUACCACCAUCAAUACGUAAGAGGUUCGAGUUAUCUCUAAUACAACCAUGCGAUAUUCCAGACAUUGACACGUUAAUAAACUUCUUAGAACGUGAGUUAUCUGCAUGCCAGUUUUCAAACUCAAAUUCAGUUAGUUUAAAUACAAAUGAUAAAAUGGUCGCACAUGGGGGUAGUUCUCGAACAUUACCGCAAAAUGCAUCGCGUGUUGUUUCUAAGUCAAGCGAAGCCACCUUAGGUACGCGACGUUCAUUUGCCGCUAGCGUCAUUCAUGACGUUCCCUUAAGAAAUAAAAACACGAAGAACAAUAUAUGUUUAUGUUGUGAGGCUCAGCAUACGUUAAAUAAAUGCAGCAAAUUUCUAAAUUUAUCUCCGCGUGAUAGAUAUUCUUUCAUUCAAAAUAAAAACGUUUGUUUUAAUUGUUUAAAUGUCGGUCAUGAUGUGAAACAAUGCAAGUCCAAUUUUGUGUGUCGCUCGUGUCAAAAAAGACAUCACACUUUGCUUCAUUUUGAUUCUCAUCGUUUGUCGGUUACAGUAAAUAGUGGUAUGACAGAAAGUAGUUCUGCAUCUCUCUCGCGCAACGAGUCAUCUCAAUCUGACGUAGCCGCUCAACACGUCAUGACCGCGGUGAAUCACACACAGUCUACUGCAUCGUAUGUUCGGGAUACAGUUUUGUUAGCCACAGCGCUCAUCCAUGUAUGUGUGACUCCGCGUAUUAAACACAUCGUUCGAUGUAUUGUAGAUAGUGGUAGUCAGGCGACAUUUAUCACAGAAGCUUGCGCGCAGCGUUUAAAUUUGGCGCGUAAAUACACUAACGUUCCGGUGUUCGGUGUGGGUGAUAGUAAGCCUGUAUACCCGAAUGGCUGCGUAACGUUUUGCGUUACCCCUCGUAAUGGGGAUCAGCCUUCGAUCCCGGUUGAAGCAUUAAUUUUACCAAAGAUUGUUUUACAAAAUAUGCCAAGUGUUUCUUUACCUUUCACGGAAUGGCCUCAUAUACAGAAUAUUACAUUAGCUGAUCCCAACUUUCAUAGUCCACAACCAGUGGAAAUGCUUUUAGGUGCGGACAUACUGUCCCAAAUAUUAUUAGGCAAUGUGAUUACGGGACCACCUGGUUCGCCGAUAGCUAUAAAUAGUAUCUUCGGUUAUCUAUUGUUAGGUAGUCUUUCUUUCAAUCACAAUUCUUCCCCUGUUACUACAGGAAUACAAGUUUAUCAUUCAAGUUUUAGCUCAUCCUACGAUGACAUGGAACUAACAAAAUUUUGGGAAUUGGAGUCGUUGCCUGAAAGGAAAGGGUUCACUCCAGAUGAAACUUUGUGCGAAUCGUUAUUUGUUAGCUCACAUACUCGUGACAAAACCGGACGAUACAUAGUCCCCCUUCCGCUUAGACCGGAUUCCCCGUCCUUAGGUGAAUCCCGGAGUAUAGCUUUAGCUAGAUUAAAUAAAUUAGAAUAUCGUUUAGAACGUAAUCCUUUGUUAAAAAUGAAUUAUCACACGUGUUUAAAAGAAUACGAUGAUCUUGACCACAUGGAGUUAGUUAACACUCCAUCCCUGGUCCCGGACAAUUCGUAUUACAUACCGCACCACUGCGUGGUCAAAGAAUCGAGUACUACUACUCGAACGCGCGUUGUUUUUGAUACAGGUUGCAAAACUUCCAAUGGAAAGUCUUUGAAUGACAUAUUGUUAGUCGGUCCUAAAUUGCAUCAAGACAUAGUCGAUGUUUUACUAAAAUUUAGAUUAAAUUCUAUUGCUUUCACGGCAGAUAUAAAACAAAUGUACCGAAACAUUUUAAUACGCGAGUCGGAUCGCGAUUUUCAACGGAUCUUAUGGCGGUCAUCAUUAAAUGAACCCGUACGCGACUAUCGACUCCGAACAGUUACUUUCGGCAUUAGUUCUUCACCAUAUUUAGCACUACGCACGAUACGACAACUAGCUGUCGAUGAGCAGACGCGGUUCCCGUUAGCCUCCGAGGUCCUGAGGGACCAAGUGUUUGUUGAUGACGUGGUCACGGGAGAAAGUGACGAGUCACGUGCUUUAGUUUUACAACAACAAUUAAUUGGUAUUUGUCAAUCAGCGGGAUUCGAACUGCGAAAGUGGUGCAGCAACUCGCCCGCGAUACUCGCGGCAGUUCAGACGCCAAGUCUUCACGGUGAGCGGCAGGACAACAUAUCCUUCGCUUCCAUGGAAAAUGAUAUGCAAAUCAAAGUCCUCGGUCUGCAGUGGAACCCAAAGCUUGACGUUUUUUCAUUUUCUGUUCAAGUACGAACCGAUAAAAUAACAAAACGUGCGAUUCUUUCUCAAAUAGCGAAAAUUUAUGAUCCCAUGGGUUGGCUCGCUCCUGUCACUUUAUAUGCCAAACAUUUAAUACAAUUAUUAUGGUUAUCAAAAGUUGGCUGGGACGACCCACUGCCCGUGAAUAUAGCAAACGCGUGGUCGACCUUUAUCAAUGAGUUACCACUCUUAUCGCAAUUAGAAAUUCCACGUUAUGUUUUGCCAAAUACAUAUGCUGUCCAAAUUCAUGGGUUUUCGGACGCAUCCGAGAAAGCAUAUGCUGCUAGCAUUUACCUACGUCUUACGAACUUACAACAUAAUGUUAGAUGCUUUCUUUUAAUUGCAAAAACUCGCGUGGCGCCUAUCAAACCGGUUUUGACGAUACCACGCUUAGAGUUAUGUGCGGCGGUAUUAUUGUCUCAGCUGUGUGAGAGGGUGCUAUGUAUUUAUAAAGAUCGUGUGAACUGCCAAGAUAUAUACGCAUGGUCAGAUUCUUCUAUUGUGUUAGCGUGGCUUCGAUCACCACCUCAUGCAUGGAAAACUUUCGUGUCUAAUCGAACGAGCGAGAUACUCUCACGACUUCCAGCAAGGUGCUGGCGUCACGUUCCAUCUGAGGAUAACCCAGCAGAUGCUCCAUCUCGUGGGAUGCUUCCUCAAACAUUUCUAAAUAAUGAAAGGUGGUUUAAUGGCCCGCCCUGGCUUGCCCGAGAGCCGUCUUACUGGCCCACGAACAAAAACAUUCCUAAUACUACGGAGGAAAGACGUAAUUUAACAGUAAUGCUGAAUUCAGUAAUAACACAACCGGAGGACGUGGAAUACAUAUCACGCUUUUCCACGUUAGGUAAACUCGUUAGAAUUACAGCUCGAAUAUUUCGUUUUUACAAUAAUUGUAAGCGAAUAAAAAAAUCCUAUCCUGAUUUUAUUACGGUGUCCGAGUAUGAGUUUUCUUUAAUGAAAUUAAUUCACAGAGUUCAGUUAUUUUAUUUUUAUGAGGACAUAAAAAAUAUUUCACAGGGAAAAUAUCCUUCAAAUAAACUCAGACGUUUAAAUCCCUUUCUUGACAAAGACAAUAAUUUACGAGUAGGAGGACGACUUCACAAGUCGAUUUUGAAUUUUGAUUCUAAGCACCAGUUGAUUCUACCUAAAAAACAUCAUUUAACUUUUUUAAUAAUCGAUAACGCUCAUAUCACAAAUUUGCAUGCCGGAUCUCAAUCUGUUCAACACAUUUUAUUUCAAAGAUUCUGGAUCUUAUCCAGUCGCAAUAAAUGGUUUCAAAAUCGCGGACCACUCAUACGUGAAGGCACCAUUGUCGUGGUACGCGACGAUAAUCUUCCUCCGUUACACUGGAGACUGGCUUGCGUACGCGCUCUUCAUCCCGGGUCUGACAACGUUACUCGUAUAGUAACUGUUCAAAUCGGUAAAACCUUCGUUAAACGUGCAGUAGUCAAACUUUGUCCACUUCCAAUAAACUAACUUUUUUAUUAUUAUUAUGUCACUCAUUGUUUUUUCUUUUAUUUUUGUUAGUACUUUUAAUUUUCACACAUACGUGGUUGAGUUAUUGAGAGUUUAAAUUCCUUCAUAAGUAGUGUUAAAACAAUUUCAUUAUUUUAAGGUGAGCGGCAUGUUUCGUACUGAAACAGAUUUUUCGUGUUUCUGUAUUUUUAUUAAUAUCGAGUAUUAGGCAAUACAUCUUCAAGACAACACAAAUCUUAACCUAGGUACAGUAAGGUUCGAUCUCGCCUGUAGACGGCCGACUAGCCAACCAGAAGCUUGCUGAGCAACCCCUCCAAGCAUACGGGCAGAGAUCGCCGUCGUAUAGUAACUUAGCACACGCGUUCCGCGGCAGACAUUCUUUAUUAAAAAACAACAAAAAUUACCCAACGCAAGUCACGCGUAACCAUUAGAACCAGCGACAAUUGUUCAUCGUGUACCAGUCAAGGGACAGACGGUCCCACCUCCGGAAACGACGCUGAGCCCAGGGAGCGCGAGGCAGUGGAAGGAAGGUGAACCGGUAGAAAAACGUAAAGCCUUUAUUUGUCCGCUGUGCGACGAGAGAGUGAGCUACGGGUCGAAUUUCAGUGCGCAUUUAUUGCACGUGCACAGAGUACACGAACACGUUGAGCAACUAGAGUUCCACG
Molecule: RNA transcript, 5947 nt
Organism: Bombyx mori (domestic silkworm)
Lineage: Eukaryota; Metazoa; Arthropoda; Insecta; Lepidoptera; Bombycidae
Gene name: zinc finger protein 26
Exons: 2
Source: RefSeq, a predicted model, not a curated record